CUCCUACGGGGGGCAGCAGUGGGGAAUAUUGCACAAUGGGGGAAACCCUGAUGCAGCGACGCCGCGUGAAGGAAGAAGUAUCUCGGUAUGUAAACUUCUAUCAGCAGGGAAGAAAACAGACGGUACCUGACUAAGAAGCCCCGGCUAACUACGUGCCAGCAGCCGCGGUAAUACGUAGGGGCAAGCGUUAUCCGGAUUUACUGGGUGUAAAGGGGGCGCAGACGGCCAUGGCAAGCCCGGUGUGAAAGGCAGGGGCAUAACCCCGGGACUGCAUUGGAAACUGUUGAACUGGAGUACAGGAGAGG
Molecule: ribosomal RNA, 305 nt
Filed under: uncultured bacterium
Lineage: Bacteria
Description: bacterial SSU rRNA
Rfam family: Bacterial small subunit ribosomal RNA
Source: RNAcentral